UGUAAGGAACUAAAACACAAAAGAUUAACAUACUAACAUCUUCCCUUAAAAGAGGCCAGUGUUGUGGGAUCUUCCAGACAGGGAGGGGAUGAAGGCAGGGCCCUUCCUAGGUUCAGGCUGAGGCUGCAAAACCGAAGGCAGAGAACCCUGAUGGAACACUGCUGUUGAUGGAGACACUGCCUGCCUGUGGUCAGUGGAGAGGACCGCUGAGCCUGCCCCUACCACAGCACCAGAGCGACAGAGGACAGGGACCCAAGACAAAGAACAGAAACACUCAGGAAGAAACUAAAGUAAGCAUGUUCUACGUGCCAGGCCCAGGAUGGAGAUACAAAAGAGCAAGAAAAAUGCUCACACACUCACGGAGCUCACCAUCUAGCGGCACCAAUGGAUGAGACUCCUGCACAUUUCCGAGAUGGAAGUGUUUUCCUUACUACAAUAGUCUUUUUGAAUAAAGCCUCUCCUUAUCUGCGUCCAGAUUUGACAACCAGCAAUCUUUCUACCAUGCACGUCUAAGCUGAUACAGCUCAGGUGGCUUUUCGCAUCAAAAACCAAGUGCUGACAUACUGUGUUAGAACCCUUGUGCAUGAAGUAGCCAGGAUGGGCAGAAACAUCGACACAGAAAGUAAACUGGUGGUUGCCGGGGGCUGGGGGUGGGGAGGAGUGGGGAGUGGCUGUUGAUGGGCACAGGGUUUCUUUUGGGGCUGAUGGAAAUACCCUAAACUUAGACUGUGAUGACAGCUGCACAACUCUGUGGCUAUACUAAAGAGCACUGAAUCGCACACUUUAAAUGGGUGAAUUUUAUGGUAUAUGAGUUUUAUCUCGGUAAAGAUUUUUUUACCUGUUACAUUCCAAUGGUAGACUGAAAUAGAAAAUGAAAGUGUGACAUAUCUUGAACUUUAAAUUAGUUGAAUUAUAAGGUCCUUCUUUUACUUGAUAAAUAACAUACAUUAUAGCCCAAACUGAGUGCAUAAUUCAAUGUCUAUUUCCAAGAAGGCUUCUUAGUUCAAUGAGUAAGAAUUUGUAAAUCCCAAUAAAGUUUUUCAAAUUUGACAGCAAGCAAAAGGAUGUAAAGAUUAAAAUAUGAAGUGGAAAAAAAUUAACUGGCUAAAUCAUUGCCACUGGAACAUUCUCAGAACCAAUUGUGGAGACUGAUCUUUGAUUCAUUUUUUUUAAUUGAAAAAGCAGCUUUUUUUCUUUCUUGGCCUAUCUUUAGCAAUUCAAUCAGAGUCAACAGUAUUUUUUUUUUCCUAGCAGCAUUUGGAUCGAGCCCUAUUCUUGGCACUGAAAAGAGGAUGAACAGUAAAUGAAAUAACAUAUGUGAAAGAAGCCCUGAGAAUGGGGCCUGGACCUCAGAGAGCGCCUGCUCUCUGGUAUGUUUUCUGUAAUUUCAUAUACUUCAUGCAGGUUUCAGGUGUGCUUACACUGCAGUACAUCAGAGAGGCUGGUUAACAUCAUGCACCGUGGAGCCCAAGUGCCUAGGUGAGACCCCCAGCUCUACCACACUUUCCCUGGGUAACCUGGGGAAGGUACCUAACCUUUCUGUGCCUCUGCUUUGCCAUGGGGGAUGAUUGCGGUCCCUAAUCCACGGGGUUGUUAUGAGGCUUAAAUGAACUGAUGUUUGUAAAGAGGUUAGCACAAUGCUAAGUGCAUAAUACGUGCCCGACGAAUGUUUAUUUGAAAACACAGUUUGAGGGACCCGAGUGGGGAGCUCACCCUCCAGAGGUGGUAAUUAACACCUGAAAGAUGAAUCAGAGGCUCUCUGCAGGGGGUUACCCUUCAACAUUACCUGUCUUCAUUUCACCAGAGAAGCUAUUAAUCAGCACGAUGGAGGUUAUUUAAUGAUUUUUCAUUGGUGCAAAGACUAGAUGUGUGGAGGACAGGUACUCAUACCCCGGCAUUAACGGAGAAGCAGUCUGUCACAAACACAGCAGCCACCCCAGAUUGGAGUGGUUUAGGAUUCUGAACAGUCCUGUGUGUGGAGGAGCACUUAAAUCUUGCUGCCUGACUCUGACUAGCAUGGCCACUGAAUCCUGCCUUUGAGGCGUGUCUCAUUCCUCUGAAUGCAUCUUUCCUGCAAGGUGUUCUUUGGGCACCUAAAAGGACAACGCGGAGACCUGACUGAGACAGAUCAGCUUGUGUAACGGCAUUUCUGUUGGCUUGUCAAUCCACAUGCCACUCAAGGAAUGGCUUCAGUCUCUGUCUUUCUUUCUGAUACUCCUAUUAGCACGGCCAAGAGGGAGAAGACCUGUGGUUCCGACCUGAGCCAACUCUGGGAGGCCACUGACGUCUUCCAAAAAUAAUCAAAUAUGGUGAAUUCCCAAAUUGGCCUGGGUCUCUGUUUCCAACAGACCCCAUAAAAAUGCCAGUAGAAAUGAAAUACUUUUUCUCUCUCAGGCAGUUUAUAAUCCAAAUGUAGUGACAAGCCAAACACAAAGGUAAAAGGCAAUGGAAGACCUAGGAAGAGAACUUCUUCAAGCACCAUUUGACAGUAUCUGUUGAGCAUAUUGUGUGUCCCAAGGACUGUGCUGGCGGCUGUGGCAGCAUCGGGAUGGAUCAGUCAGGACUCUUACGUGAAAAGGGAUAAUCGUGACAUCUGGUUUAAAACAAGUGCAAACGAACUCAGUUUAUAAGCACUCGAGGGCUUACCUAUGGCCAGCAGUAAGUCUUCAAAAUGCCCAGACAGUUCUCCUUUUAUGCUGUCCUCAAUGUCCUUCUGGCUAAUAUUUCUGUAUUCAUCAAAUGCUGAAAAGCAGCAUCACAAAAAAUAUUUAAAGCAUCUCAGUUGACCACACUUCAAUAUAUUCUAGUUUUUGACUUGACAUGCAGCAAAUCACGUUAAGUGGCAAGCUCAAAAACUCCUAUAUAAACCAUUAAAAAUCGAGCACAGAGGUUUUUGGUUUUUCUUGAAAAAAUCACCAGUAAUAAAACUUGAACUUCCCAGGCCAUUUUCUUCAACGAUCAAUCUCUUUGUCUCUCUCCCCUCCCCUCCUCUUCCCUCCCCCUAACCAGACUGUUAGCAUUUAAAAUAGCCUGAAAGGCUAAAUGAUAAAUAAUUUAUCUAGUAAGGUGGGCUAUUUUUAAAUUAUAGCAGCACCUGGGAAGCAAAAUGUGGCUAUUAGUCAAAUAUGUUUUAAACCUACUACUGAAAUCUUAAUUAUGGAGAUUUCUCCAUGCUGAGCACACACUCCCUAAGGCAGCAUGGCCUACCUCUCCCUAGAAGGCAUUCCAAGUUCUUGGCUGGUAUUCGCCCCAAAGCAAAACCUGCACCUCUGUCCCCGGGCAGGUAGGCAUACUUUGUAAGCCAAGUAUAUUUUUCCCAAGUAAAUUUCAAAAAGAGAAAAUCUGGAGAGAGAUCUAGGAUUGUUCGGUUUUCAGUUUUUCAAGUAAAGCAACUCUAGAAUACUAUUACCCUUAUUUUAUAAAAAAGAAUAUCAUUUUAAUACCAGAUUUAGGAAAAGUGAUCUCAGAAUUAAAAAAAAUGGCAGUCCCUGUGUUUCCUCAUUUCCUUUGAACUCAGCACAAGCUUAGACAAGCAGUGCGAUCGUUCUCCAGAUCAGCGCCUGGAAGCCACAGUCAGAUGCCCACGUAAGAGGAGCGCUGGGCUUCCAGGUGCUGUUGCCUCCAGCAUGACUCAGGGAGAUGCAUGAGUGAGGAAGUGGGUGCUUAGCCAUUCAGUGUAAUAGUCGGUCUGAUAAAAAGAGCCCUCCCUCCCUGCUUCCAAUUGAUCUUCCUAUCAGAAAAAGCAGAAUGUUAAUCAACAUGGGUGCAUUCACAGAGACUCACUCGCAAUGGAAAGUGGCUAAUGAGGCAAGAGACAGGCUGGAAGCAAUGCUCCUCUCUGCUCUCACCCUGGAGGGCUGCUCGCUGCUCUCUCCUCCCUGGCCUCCCUCCCCAUCUAGUCUAUCACCUGUCACUCACUGGGUAAUCUACUCAGCCUCUAGGGGGACACAAGGGUCGUGUCCCUUCUGCCCAGAGUAAGGAACACAGCUCUCCCCGGUUGUUUCUUGAAAUGUUUACACAUAAAAAUGGAAGAGCCUUUGUGAUUUUUAACUUCAUUUUCCAGAACUUAGUAUAUUCAACCCUAAAACAUAUGCACAAACCAUACAAUUCCCAAAGGAUGGCCAUUCGAGUCCAUACUCAGUUUCAGUUGAAGAAAGCUCCUUAAACACAGGAUCUCGGUGAAGGUAUCCUCAUCCGUGCCCCAUCUCUUCUCACCGGCAUUAUAGAGAAUCUGUGGGACAAGGGAGAAGACAGAAAUGUUACUGCAGACCCAAUUCUUUUUGAGGUGGCGGAAUGAGAAGCGGGCGAGCUGACUUGACUUCACAGGUCAUUGUGGUCAUCUGUCAUCCACAUCUCUCACUUCUAGCAGAAUAGACAUCUGACAGCUGGGGUGGCAGGAGCCAGGGGAAGAAGCGCCACCACCGGAGGUGACAGAAAGUUGGGGCUGGGUGAUGCCCAGCUUCAGGCUUCUCCUUCAGACAGGCCAGGGGAGAGGACAGCCCCAGCUGGAGCCACAGAAAUGAGAAGGCAGUCAGGAGGGAGCACAGUCAAAGGAGAUGAUUUCUUUGCUCUGUUACUGACCUGGGCAUCCUUUUUGGCCAGCUGCUCAUCCACUUUCUGACUCUCAUCUCUUCUGCCCUAAACAGGGAAGAUAAAAAUAAGGGCAAGCCUUUUAGAGACAGAAGAGUCCAUUGCUUGGUAUCCCAACCACUACAGCAUCUCAGAGCUGCUUCUCCAAGGGAGGUGAUCAGGCACUUGGGGCAUCUUCAGGAAAUCAAAAUACAAGCCACAGACUGGGAGAAAAAUAUAUGCAAACACAUAUCUGAUACGGGACUGGUAUCCAAAAUAUAUCAAGAACUCUUAAAACUCAACAAUAAGGUAGCAAACAACCCAAUUAAAAAUGGGCAAAAUAUCUGAACAGACAUCAGAUACACAGAUGGCAAUAUAGCACAUGAAAAGGUGCUCAACAUCAUAUGUCAUUAGAGAAUUGAAAAUGAAAACCAAACCCCUGCACAUCAAUUAGAACGGGUGAAAUCCAAAACAGUGACAACACCAAAUGCUGGUAAGGAUGUGGGGCAACAGGGAAUCUCAUUCCUUGUUGGAAAUGUGAAAUGGUACAGCCACUUUGGAAGACAGUUUGGUGGUUUCUUCCAGAACUAAACAUGUUUUACUGUACAAUCCAGCAAUUAUGCUCCUUGGUACUUACCCAAAUAAGCUGAAAUCUUAUGUCCACACAGAAACUUGCACAUGAAUAUUUACAGAAGCUUUCAUUCAUAAUCGUCAAAACUUACAAGGGGAAUAAACUGUGGCAUAGCCAUACAAUGAAAUAGGACUCAGUGGUAAAAAGGAAAUGAGUUAUCAAGCCAUGAGAAGAGGCAGUCUGAAAAGCCUACAUACUGUAUGAUUCCAACUAUAUGACAGUCUGGAAAAGGCAAAACUACAGAGAUAAAAAGAUCAGUUACCAGGGGUUCAGAGGCAGAAAGACAGGGAUGAAUAGUGGGAGCACAGACCAUUUUUAGGGCAGUAAAACUAUUCUGUUUGAUAUAGUAAUGGUGGACACACAACAUUAUACAUUUGUCAAAACCCUAGAAUGUAGGACACAAGUGGUGAAUCUGAAUGUAAACUAUGGAUUUUAGUCAAUAAUGAUGUGCCAGUUCAUUCAUUCAUCAUCUAAUUCAUUCAUCAACUAUAAAAAAUGUGUCCUGCUAAUGCAAGAUGCUAACCAUAGGGGUCACUGGGAGAGGGUGGGAAGAUGAGCAUACGGGAGCUGUCUGCAGUUUCUGCUGGAAAUCUAAAAGUGCUCUAAAAAAUAAAGUCUAUUCAAAAAACCCCCAAAACCUCAAAGAUCCCCACUAACUCUCCUGUUGAAGGUUCCGUGGCUGAGUGUGUGUGCUUACACAAACACUUCAGCACGUCAUGGAAAGAUGGGAGACGCAGAUGAAAAAGAAGAAUGCUUGAAUUAUUUUGAAAUUACAGGGCUGAGGCUACUCUGCUCCGACUAAGCGUCCCAGUUUGCCUUCGUCUUGUUCUCCUUUCAUCAUCCACCGUGUUCCAACAGUAAAAAUGCUAACGAUCAUUGGUAUUAAUAAUAAUAAGCCGCCACUGUACUGUUGACACCCCAUGUGCUGUUUCACAUCCUCUCUCUCUCUUAAUCUUCACAACACCCUAUGAAGUUGGUACUGUUAUUAUUUUAAUUGUACAGAUGUGUGAAAUGGAGGCUUUAAGGUUUCAAUUAAAGUAACCUGCCUGAACACACAAAGCCAGUAGGCAGCAGAGGAGUACGGGGUUCUAGGUCUGACGCUGAAGCCCUGCCCGGGACCCCCGCCCUCCACUGCCCCGAGUGGGCGUGUGUGCCCGCUUGCACACACAAGCGGAUGUGCAGUGAUGAAUGCAGACCUGGGGGCAUAUGUUUGCAGCGAUGCCUCACCCAUUUGGGUUUGCAGGUUCAGUCUUCAUAAGGUUUUCACCAUUGAAAACAACUGAAACCAUAAUUAGGAUAAACUGCUUCCUAGUGGUGUAAUGCCUCACUUUGACAAACGCUGUUUCAACCCUCAGGCUGAGACGGUUGCUGGGAUUUUCUCCCACAUUAAGGGCUGUGCAACUCAGCUGAAAGAGGCUGCUGGGGUAGGACUUAAAUCAUUUCCUCCCUUACACACACGUAUGACUACAUCUCAUCCUUGACCUUAUCAUCUUUUUUUAUCAAGUCAUGCACCUCUGACAAAGAAACAGCAAGGUGUGGCCUCAUUUGGUCACACGGUGAUGAAUGGUUUAGUGACUCUUCCAAAGGCGGUAAGGACAAAGUUCCAGCAAGUCAUUUUUUUUUUUUAACCCUGAGACUGCCAUACCCAUCUCUGAAGGUAACCCUUCUGUGUCAUGUGUCCUACUUAACUUAAAUGCUCCCAAGUGGAAUAUAUAUUCUUUGGAGCCCAGAAGAAAAUCAACAUGUUCUUAAAAAUGGAGACACUCAUAAUGGAAAUGAACAAUUAUUUUUCUUUCAGAUGAACUUGCAGAACAUUUCCUAACACAUUAUGAAUCCUGAUCAAAAGACAUUUAAUCCAUUUACUGACCAAAACAAGAUUCCUUAAAUACAUCAUUAAGUUACACUUUCAUGGUGGUGGUUAAAUAUUACACUGCUUGAUGGCAAUCCAAAUGUAAAAUGAACAAAUCAUUUCAUAAGGGAAAUUGCAAUCUCAUUGUCUCAGUUUGGUUAUUUUCAAACUCCAUAAAAAUUAUUACCGAGCGUGCAACUUACUAGGGAGUUAAAAAGUAAAAAAUAAAACCUUACAUCAGCCAAAGUCAACAGAGCUUUCCGGAAGUCACCAGAGGUUUCAGAACUAAUCGCAUCUCCGAGACUUUUCUUGUAUACUGAAAGCAAAUAAGAAUGAAAUUAAGCUUUGAUAAACUAAAAAAUGUUAUUAUAAAACAGAGAAAAGCUUAAAUGGCAACACUGGCAAGGAAGGAGUACCUGAUGAAAUAAAUUACGCCUUCUUUUUUUUUUUUUUAACCUCCUAGCGCUUUUCCAAGAUGUACACCUCCUUCUUGUAACUAUUACUGUAGUAUGUGGUGUGGUAGAUGCACAAGAACAUAAGAAAAUGCCAUUCUGGAUCAACUCACGGUUCAUUUCACCUGACAAUAGCACUAAGGAACGUAUGGUGAGAAAGCUAGGGUGGGCAAGCUGCUAAUUUGCCUUCCAAUUUCCACUGCCUCCUUCUUCCAAAGGAAUAGAAGCCUGACCUUGAGCAAGACAGAAUGCACAGAGCAUAAAGACUACGUCCUCUGCUCUCCUCUGAGCUAGGCACAGCUCGACAACUCCAUUCUUGGCCACCAAAUGUAGGCAGACCUAUGUGACAUUGCUAGGAAAUCUCCUCAGUGAUGGCUCUUUCCUCCAUCCUAAUGCCUGGAAUGUAGGUUGACCCCUGGAGCCUGGGCAGCCAUCUUGCACUAUGAAGACAAAGACUACAUCUCAGCGAUGGCAAAGAAUAAGCAGAAAGGGGCCCGGGUUCCUAAAAGUUGAUGAGCUAUCAAGCCAGUCCUAGAAAUGCCUAUCUCCAGACUGCUUCUACACAUGAGAGAAAUAAACUUUUAUUUAAGCCACCAUUA
This is a long non-coding RNA of Camelus dromedarius (Arabian camel), 8100 nucleotides long. RefSeq lists it as uncharacterized. The transcript has 4 exons. NCBI's taxonomy places the organism in Eukaryota, Metazoa, Chordata, Mammalia, Artiodactyla, Camelidae. The record is from RefSeq and is a predicted model, not a curated record.